CAUAUCUCUCCCACAUCUGGGCAAGCUGAAGAGAAGAAAUCCCCAAAUCUGAAGCAUGAAUAGGGUAGGGUUAAAUUCUUUGCCUCAAAGGUGGACUUCAGAGGAAAAGCCCAGGCUCCUCACUGUCUCGAAGAGAGAGUCUGCCUGCUGUGGGUAGAGGAGUUCUCCGAGCUUGUGUCCCUUCCUGCCCCCACCCCAACUCUCUCCUUUUAACAUUUUGUGUCCUCAGUUGGGUUCUCUUAUUUGGUACAUCUUAGAAAGGAGCCCUUGCUGUUUCACAGGCAGUGGACGUGACAAAAGUGAGUUGGGAACCCGGGGAGAACCCAGAACCUCGGUGGUGCUGGCCCUGGGCCAUGGUGGGACUGAAUGGAGACCUGUUUGUGCCCCUUCCUCACUGUCCCUGAACACCGUCCCCGCCUCACGGGUCCUGGGGAGGAGCACCCACGCUCUGUGGGCCGUGUCCCUGCCGCUCUCUGCUCGUGGGCAGGUGGGCUUCUCUCCACUCCAUGCUGCAUUCAGAGCUUGCACGGACACUCAUAGCCCCCUCUCUUCCCCUCCUCCUAGGGUCCCCCACUCCUCUGAGCCCCUCUGUGCCGAUGAGCAGCGGCACAGCUCUAGCCGGACGGAGGGACGAAGCCCGCCCCAGGGUGGUGACCUCAGAGCACAGGCAGCUGAGCCUUCCGGGUCCGUGUGGCGCUGAGGGAGAAGAGCGUGGAGCAUGGCACGGAGAGCAGCGAUGGCGACACAUGGCAACAGUACGGCAUCCAGGUUUCAGCAGUCACAAGGCGGCGUGGGCACGGCCGCGCUCAGUCUCCGCUGUGUUCAUCAUGGUUGCUACUAGAGAGGAGGAGUCGUUAGGAUGGAGACCAGAUGGCUCGGAAGGCUGUGCGCGACUACGCUCUGCCCCUAGAUUGCAAGGGCCGGGCGGCCCUGGCCUAUGGGAGCGGCCCAGGUUGGAGAGCAACUGCCUUGGAUUCCAGGGAUGGGGCCCUCCGCAGUGA
RNAcentral lists this long non-coding RNA (1001 nucleotides) under Fukomys damarensis (Damara mole-rat). RNAcentral's name for it is "lncRNA (ENSFDAG00000028424.1)". The record is from RNAcentral. Lineage: Eukaryota; Metazoa; Chordata; Mammalia; Rodentia; Bathyergidae.